UCCCUAGACCUUGCAUACCCUGACACCAUCAUGGUCCACAACCUCACGUCCCUUGCCUUCUCCCCUGCCAAAUCAAACACCUUCCUGGCAAGCGCCACCCCCCUGCACUUCGCAUACAUGUCCACCAACACGAUCGCCACCUGUUGUGACUGAAACAGUUCAGCCCGAAGCGCUCUCAUGGCAACCCCGUGCAAUGCUUUUGCCACCCUCAAAUCCUUCAGUCCCGCACAUGCGCCCGACAACGCCGUGAUGGUCCACCCAUCCGGCCGCAAUCCUCUGUCCACCAUAACCCUGAAUACUCCGAAAGCAUCGCCAACACAGCAUGCAUGCACAUAUGACCCGAUCAGAGUGUUGAAGGAUACGGUGUCCCUUGUCGGCAUUUCAUCGAACAGCCUGUGCGCCAGAGAGGGCAGACCGAAGGACGCGUAG
RNAcentral lists this ribosomal RNA (429 nucleotides) under Triticum aestivum (bread wheat). Its description in RNAcentral is "partial small subunit ribosomal RNA". The record is from RNAcentral. Lineage: Eukaryota; Viridiplantae; Streptophyta; Magnoliopsida; Poales; Poaceae.